GAUGAACGCUGGCGGCGUGCUUAACACAUGCAAGUCGAACGGUGAAAGCGGAGCUUGCUCUGCUGGAUCAGUGGCGAACGGGUGAGUAACACGUGAGCAAUCUGCCCCUGACUCUGGGAUAAGCGCUGGAAACGGCGUCUAAUACCGGAUACGAGCUGCGAAGGCAUCUUCAGCAGCUGGAAAGAACUUCGGUCAGGGAUGAGCUCGCGGCCUAUCAGCUAGUUGGUGAGGUAACGGCUCACCAAGGCGUCGACGGGUAGCCGGCCUGAGAGGGUGACCGGCCACACUGGGACUGGGACACGGCCCAGACUCCUGCGGGAGGCAGCAGGGGGGAAUAUUGCACAAUGGGCGAAAGCCUGAUGCAGCAACGCCGCGUGAGGGACGACGGCCUUCGGGUUGUAAACCUCUUUUAGCAGGGAAGAAGCGAAAGUGACGGUACCUGCAGAAAAAGCGCCGGCUAACUACGUGCCAGCAGCCGCCGUAA
RNAcentral lists this ribosomal RNA (484 nucleotides) under uncultured bacterium. RNAcentral's name for it is "partial 16S ribosomal RNA". It matches the Rfam family "Bacterial small subunit ribosomal RNA", at positions 28 to 523 of the family's 1533-position model. The record is from RNAcentral.